GACGAACGCUGGCGGCGUGCCUAAUACAUGCAAGUUGAGCGCUGAAGAUUGGUGCUUGCACCAAUUUGAAGAGCAGCGAACGGGUGAGUAACGCGUGGGGAAUCUGCCUUUGAGCGGGGGACAACAUUUGGAAACGAAUGCUAAUACCGCAUAACAACUUUAAACAUAAGUUUUAAGUUUGAAAGAUGCAAUUGCAUCACUCAAAGAUGAUCCCGCGUUGUAUUAGCUAGUUGGUGAGGUAAAGGCUCACCAAGGCGAUGAUACAUAGCCGACCUGAGAGGGUGAUCGGCCACAUUGGGACUGAGACACGGCCCAAACUCCUACGGGAGGCAGCAGUAGGGAAUCUUCGGCAAUGGACGAAAGUCUGACCGAGCAACGCCGCGUGAGUGAAGAAGGUUUUCGGAUCGUAAAACUCUGUUGGUAGAGAAGAACGUUGGUGAGAGUGGAAAGCUCAUCAAGUGACGGUAACUACCCAGAAAGGGACGGCUAACUACGUG
RNAcentral lists this ribosomal RNA (497 nucleotides) under uncultured bacterium. Its description in RNAcentral is "partial 16S ribosomal RNA". It matches the Rfam family "Bacterial small subunit ribosomal RNA", at positions 28 to 507 of the family's 1533-position model. The record is from RNAcentral.